Molecule: non-coding RNA, 5201 nt
Organism: Monodelphis domestica (gray short-tailed opossum)
Lineage: Eukaryota; Metazoa; Chordata; Mammalia; Didelphimorphia; Didelphidae
Source: RefSeq, a predicted model, not a curated record
AGGGGUCUUCAGAUCAGAUGGUUAGACGACGCGAGCGCGCGCGUAGGGCAUUGAAGCCUGAGCCGGUUUGGCCUGGUCCGGCCCUGUAGGCUGACGGGACGACGGGUCUGGGCCCGGGAUACUGUGAUGUGCAAAACCCCCUCCCAAGGAGAGGGAAAAGGCAGUGACGACACUCAGAUGACACGCCAGAGCCAAGGCCAUUAAGAAGAGGCUGAAAUCUUCCAGACACCUUGAGUUUCCGGGGUGAAACCAAAAGCGUCGGUGACAUUCCCUGCUCCGCUCACACACAUCACCAGCCCGGCCCAUCUAGACGCUAUUCAAGAGUGUGUGCAGGUGUUGAGACGAGUCACAAGGACAGGAUGUUCCAUGAAGGACUGUGAGGAACCGCUGGUGAGAUGUGAGAGGAAUCCACUAGUGUGUGUUUGGGUGAGAUGCCUAAAAACAAUCGCCUCGGGCAGAAGCAGCCAACUAGAGUCCUGGCUGCCGAGGCCAUGCUCGCUGCCAAGAGGCUUGCUGGCUUGAUAUGAUAAUGAUCUCUUUAUGGCUACAGCCAAUGGCCUCGCCUCGAACCUCAUCCUCCUGGAUCUCUUGCAGCCCAGACACUGCCAACACCCUUUUCCUGCAAUGCUCUUUCCUGGGUUUUCCCAACAUGCUCUCUUAAGAUAUACUUUUUUUGGGUAAACUCUUACCUUUUGUCUUGGAAUUGCUUCUGAGUAUCAGUACCGAGGGAGAAGAAUGGUAAGGGCUGGGCAAUUGGGGUUGCCCAGGAUCACUUAGGUAAAAACGAUGACCUGGAGAAUUAACAACACUGGAUCUAGAACUGUAAGAGGAAACAACCCGACAAAGAAAGUGUCUUGUCUGCAUACCUAAAUCUCAUGUCAGGAGAAUGUUGCUUUGAUCAUUAACAAGGGGCUGCAAGGUGGUUGAUGUGAAUGCCCAUCCAUUCUAGGACCAACAACCCCAAGGAGGAUCAGGAGUCAGCCUGGGCAUCCCCUGCCUAAUCUUCGGUCUUUGUCUGACCUAGUUUGUGGCUUCCACAAAAGUUCUGCAUCAAGUUUCUGCAGUUCUGAAAACCGCUCUGGUGUUUUUCCCACAGAUACAUCGGAAAGCACUUGUUGAAGUGCUGCUGCAUUAAAAGGAUAGAGAAUCUCCCCCCUCCCCCAGUUUGUGUCCCUUUGAAGGGGCUUGGUCAGAGGCAAGCUCCAAGGGUCAGGGUGCAUCUGUUGGGCAUGACGUCACUUUCUAGGAGUUCAUACCUUGAUUCUGGAUUAGUGCAAAAAGAGCUUCAGGACAUGUAAGCAGGCUACUGUUGAGACCCACCAUGGAUGGGGCAAAACGGAAACAAGUGGCCUGGAAGUUCUUUGUACGUGGACAUAACUUUGCUCUCCACCCUCGUGACUCGUCUUAGCUGUCCUUUGGUGGACAUGCUAAUAAAAUGGGAGAAAGCACGGUUACAAAGAUGACUCACAAUGUCAGAGAUGGAAGGGUCCUUUGGCAUCAUUUAUGUAAAAUAAGAUGGAGACAGGCUCAGACAGGGGCAGUAGUUGGCCUGUUGUCAAGAUGGCUAAGCAGCACUACAAAGCCUGGACAUGUGAGAGACCCCUAGAAGAAUACGAUCAGAAAGUGAAAAGGUUGCAAAGUAGGCCAGACAGAAUUAGGAAAUCCUGCUUAGAAUUGAACAUGGAAGGAAGAGACUUUCGACGAAGAGACAAUUGUGGACGUCAAACAAAACUAACAAGUUAUCAGGUAGUAAUAUCUGGUCAAGGCCAGCAUGGCACGACAUGAAGAAGUUCUGUUGUGGAGACCAAUUUUCAAAACUUUAUCUGCUGUGUUGCCAAGACAAAUCCUGCAGCUCUGCCCUGCACUUAUGAAUUCUGACUCCAAUAUCCCCUUGUCCCUGCCUUGGCAGAUGGUGACCAGACCCAGCUGUUCACCUUCUUUGCCUCUUACCUGUUUAUGAGGACCCCUGAGUAUGUGUGCCUUUGCACCUUCGCAAGCUGUCCUCAUUGCUUCCAGUGAUGGUGUGCCCAGUAAAUCUGUGAUCAAAUCCAACUGUAGACAGACAGGAAAAAAAGAUGGCCGUCAUUGGGUCAGGAGACAUUCCAAGGAGAUACUGUGGCGUCAGGGCUUCUCCGAGAGCUUGGAGUAAAGCUUUCAAGGUAACGGAGAGGUUAUGACCUCACUUUCUAGCCCACUCAAACUAAACAGCAAAGGUUAGCCAGCACCAGCCGGGGGCCCCUUUCCAUCCUAUUUGCAUGGCAUUAAUAUAGGGAGGUAAAUAGACUUACUAAGGAAAUCUCAAUUGGCCUCUUCUGUGCUGGGCACGCUAGCACUUAUGUAUGCCUGUGUGUGCCUGAUACCAGGUCAAAUCCAGCCAAAGGACAUAUUCUUCAAGAAGUGAGAUGAAGGGCUGGAUCUGGUAUAUGGAGCAGCCUCGGCCUCGCCGGUAAGGCAGCCUACAAAGCGGUGAACUCUUGGGUUUUGCACAGAGCCUUUACAUUUGAGAUCAGAGCUGGCCUUGCAAGGUUUGGGCCCUCAUUUUUUCCCUUACACUAUAGUCAGGAUAGUCUUCUGACAAAGAACUCCCACACACCGUAGGGGAUAAUAGCACACAUUCUGCAAAUCUGGCGACAUGAUUCGGACGGCCCAUCACUGAACACAGCCAUUUGUCCUUAGCGUUUGUCUCUAACCCUACAGAUGUUCCGAGGUUGUUAGCCUAAUUACCAAUUACACUUGCUUCUGAUUCUCUAGUUUGGGCAGUUCUUACCUAUGAAAUACGACUUUGUACUUUUCUUUCUGGAAUCACCAAGCAGCACAAUUUGGGGGUUUGUCUAGAGCCCAGGACAGACCUCUAUAGCACUUGCCUUUGGAGUUAUUGGGGACACAUUAUAGAAACAUCCCUCUAUAAGAAUGAAGAUCCUCACAAAGGUUUUUUAAAUUUGUUUUCCUGAGGGGGAUUAGGUGACGAUUUUUGUAACUUGUACAGUUAGUCAGGCUAGAGGCAGCUAGGUGGUUUAGUACAUAGAGAACCAGGCCUGGAGAUGGGAGGUCUUGGGUUCAAAUCUGACCGGAGACACUUCUUAGACCUCCUAGACACUUCUGUGACCCUGGGCAAGUCACUUACUGCCUAGUGCCUAUUGCUCUUCUGCUUUGUAACUGACACUUAGUACUGAUUCUAAGACAGAAUGUCAAGGUUUACAUAAAGCAGUCAAGCUACUGCUGAUCAGAAAUAGCAGCUUCAGUAAGAAAAAUAAUGAAACAUCUGGAAAAGUCUGCCCAAGUCAGUUGGAUCUUUGGAUAAUAAAGCUCUUGCACAAAGGCUGGUUGCCUCUCUCUCAUUUCAUUUCCCUCCCCCUCUCCAAAGCAUUAGGAGCUUCUAUCACUGUGUUCAGCUGGAAGUUAGAUUCUCUUCACUAUUUUGUAACUUCUCCCACCCCCUUUCCAGGUAACACAUAGGAAGAUUCCCCAAGUGGCCAUUUCAGAGCAGCAAAAACAACUCCCCUCCCUUUAGAGAAUUAAGCUUUAAAUACCAGUAUAAGCCACACUUUACUCAUUUUUAAUAGUAGCCUGAGAUCCUUGUUGACUUUACAUUUUCAGUGGCUCCAACCCCUAUUUGUCACUUAAAGGUUUCCCACCUUUAAAAGACUAAUAUUAGUUUUAUAAUGUAAGCUUCUCUGUGUCCAAACAGAAAGACCAAAUAUGAAGGCAUAUAUCAAAAAAAAUCUGUCCUUUAAAUUUGGAACAUAAUAGACUCUUUUAGAGCCACAUGUUGGCCUCUAUUAUGUGGCUACUUUACUAAUUGGUGCAUUAAAGCAGCUUUGUACACAUCAUACCUUCUCUGCUGAAUUCAUACUCUGUAGAAGUUUUAUAAUAUGGUUCAAAAUGAAUACAAAUGGAGCAAAGUAACCGUCACUUUUAGGAUAGAAAAUCCCAACUUUGGACAAUCUUCACAUAGAAUUUUAGACAUUUUUAUAGGCUAUGAACAUACAGUCAAGAAAUAUGUUAACAGUUGACUCGGGCAAAUACAUUUUCUAACAUGGUGACUGACAGUUCUGGACCCAAAGGAUAUGCUGCACUUAAGUGAGAACAUACUGUUUGUAGAGAUGCAUAGUAAAAGCCUAUUUCACUUAGAUAUAUCCAAGAAGCUUUAAUCAGUGUUAUAAGUGCUUCCCAAAAUGUGUAUUUUAAAGAAUUUUGUUCUAUGGAGCCCAAAGUGUUUAAAUAUCUUCCUCAUCCACUAAAUGUCAUCAGCCUUUUCUAAAUGCUUAGAUUUCAAGACAUCAAUAUCGAAUCUCCUAGAAAAAGCUCAAGUGGAAUUUCCAUGAAUUCAAUGAAUACAUUUUAAAGUCAACCAUUAUGGAUAUAAAUCGAUCAGCAACACUACCAGCCCUACAAAAAACAUCCUAUAGUUCAAGUGAAUGAAAGGAAAGAAGAUAUAUUUAUUCAUUGUCACUGAGGAAAUUUGUUCCAGCAGAAUUUAAUGUGCACAUAUAGCCAAAGACCUGAGAUACCCUAGUAAGAGCCCCUCUGAUGUGUAAUGACAAAACCCUAACUCUCUCAACUAUAUCUGAAAAUAGAUUUGCUGAAAGUCAAUUAUAUAACAUGGCAUAAAAGGUUGAUGGUAUAAUUAUACCUGUUGAAUGGGACUCUGUGCCUGAAACAAUAUUCUUCGUCCUAGCAGCUCUGCAAAGAUGCAGCCUACAGACCAGAUGUCAAUAGCAUUGCUGUAAUGACGGCUGCCCAUCAGGAUCUCGGGGGCCCGAUAAUACUGAGUGACAACUUCCUGAGUCAUAUGACGGGAUUCAUCCAGUUCCUCCACUCUGGCCAAUCCAAAGUCGCAAAUCUAAACAGAAAAUUGGUUUGUUUUUCAAAUAUGAUUUUGAAAUGAUCAGGGCUUUCAGAUUUUUUUAUGAGGAAAUGUUAUUUACAUGUGUAACAGGUUAAAAUAGGCUUAAUACUUUGAAAGAGUAUGAUUGUUCGAAAAUGGUUUUUGGCAAUAUUUUAUUUUUUCACAAUUGCAUGUACAAACACUUUUUAACAUUUUUUAAAAAUUAUGUGUUCCAAAUUCUCUCCCCCUUUUCCCUGAGAUAGUAAGCAAUUUGAUACAUGUUAUAUAUGUGGUCUCAUGCAAAACAUAUCAGUCACAUUGUGGAAGAAGGCACAAAAAAACCCUAUUAAAAAUGAGUAGGCUUCAAUUUGCA